UGCGUAGGUGGUGAGGUAAGUCGGAUGUGAAAGCUCGGAGCUCAACUCCGAAAUGGCAUUGGAAACUACCUUGCUAGAGGGUUGGGAGGGGGGACUGGAAUACUUGGUGUAGCAGUGAAAUGCGUAGAUAUCAAGUGGAACACCAGUGGCGAAGGCGAGUCCCUGGACAACUCCUGACACUGAGGCACGAAAGCUAGGGAGCAAACA
Molecule: ribosomal RNA, 207 nt
Filed under: uncultured bacterium
Lineage: Bacteria
Description: partial 16S ribosomal RNA
Rfam family: Bacterial small subunit ribosomal RNA
Source: RNAcentral